UGGUGGAGUGAUUUGUCUGGUUAAUUCCGAUAACGAACGAGACCUUAACCUGCUAAAUAGUCACGCCAAGUUUUACUUGAUGUUGACUUCUUAGAGGGACUAUGGAUGUUUAAUUCAUGGAAGUUUGAGGCAAUAACA
Molecule: ribosomal RNA, 138 nt
Filed under: uncultured eukaryote
Lineage: Eukaryota
Description: partial 18S ribosomal RNA
Rfam family: Eukaryotic small subunit ribosomal RNA
Source: RNAcentral